Molecule: ribosomal RNA, 305 nt
Filed under: uncultured bacterium
Lineage: Bacteria
Description: bacterial SSU rRNA
Rfam family: Bacterial small subunit ribosomal RNA
Source: RNAcentral
UUGUUCCUACGGGACGCAGCAGUGAGGAGUAUUGGUCAAUGGGCGGAAGCCUGAACCAGCCAAGUAGCGUGAAGGAUGAAGGUUCUAUGGAUUGUAAACUUCUUUUAUAAAGGAAUAAAGUGAGGCACGUGUGCCUUUUUGUAUGUACUUUAUGAAUAAGGAUCGGCUAACUCCGUGCCAGCAGCCGCGGCAAUACGGAGGAUCCGAGCGUUAUCCGGAUUUAUUGGGUUUAAAGGAAGCGUAGAUGGGUUGUUAAGUCAGUUGUGAAAGUUUGCGGCUCAACCGUAAAAUUGCAAUUGAUACUG